UACAGAGGGUGCAAGCGUUAAUCGGAAUUACUGGGCGUAAAGCGUGCGUAGACGGUUAUGUAAGUCAGGUGUGAAAGCCCCGGGCUCAACCUGGGAAUUGCAUUUGAGACUGCAUAGCUAGGGUGCGGAAGAGGGAAGCGGAAUUCCGCGUGUAGCAGUGAAAUGCGUAGAGAUGCGGAGGAACACCGAUGGCGAAGGCAGCCUCCUGGGAUAACACUGACGCUCAGGCACGAAAGCGUGGGGAGCAAACAGG
RNAcentral lists this ribosomal RNA (253 nucleotides) under uncultured bacterium. Its description in RNAcentral is "partial 16S ribosomal RNA". It matches the Rfam family "Bacterial small subunit ribosomal RNA", at positions 524 to 776 of the family's 1533-position model. The record is from RNAcentral.